UGGAAUCCAGGCUAGAAAAUUGAUUUUCAGGCAGAUUAAAUUCAAGAUGAGAAAAUUGUCACACCCCAACCAAUGGCGGAAUCAUCGGAGUGGAACAAAAAAGAUUGCUCAUUACACAUAACACUAUUGGCGACAAUAAUUAAUUCAAAACCAAUCUACUACUUCUAAUAAAGCAAAACAAUCUUAGGCCACAUGUCAUCUUCUUAUCCAUGUGGCUGACACGACACGUGGCAAUUGAUUGUUUCCCCAAUUUUUCGUUUGAGAGGCAAUUAUACUUCCUCCUUGGCUCUUUUUGAAACUGCCUGAAUUUCUUCAAUUUGGAAACCUCAUAACUUAUCUCAGUCAAUUGAAAUCAUUCUCCAAUUUAGCAUCUUUUCUUUAGUAAAAUCAUUCUCCAGUUUGGCAAAUUGAUUUCUCUUGGUAUACCAAUUCCAAAUUGAAAACCUUUACCCAUCAAUCAAGUCUCUGUUCCAAUAGAACCCUGGAUUUCUGAGGACUUCACAAUAGCUAGCUGUUGAAUUCUAAGGAAGACGAAGACGACUACAAUAAAUAUAGGUUUAGAUCUUUGCUCUGGUGGCUAUCUAGGGUUUCAGUGGCGGCCGAUGACUAUGGAUUACUUCCUUCGAGGGUAAGAAAACCCUUUUACUAUUGCUAUGAACAGGUCUUGGGUGUUAGUGUUUCAAUCUCGGCGCCGCUUAUCGUGUACGACACUGCGUCUAUUUCUCAGGCGAUGUAAUCAUUCACGGCGUUGGCGAGCAACAUCACGACUUCCUCCGGCGAUGUAAUCCUUCACGGUAUUGGCGAACGACGUCAUGCCUGAUCAUCUGUUUUCAGUUAAGAGGCGUUCUCCAAUUUAAUGUCGUUGGAUCUAACCGGUGGUGAUCGAGGGCCUGCGUUUAGGGAUCCUUACGGUGUCUGUUUGAAGUCAAAGAGGAGAGAUAUUGGCCCGUAUAAGGAUCUUUUUGCUAUUGAAGCUGGUUCUAUUGAUUUAAAAAGAAAAUGAAUGCAUCCCUCUUGAUCUGUAGACUCAAGCUCCUCCUUGAGAAGCUGGCCUCCGUCAACUUAGAGGGUUUGACACAUCAGCAAAAGCUCGCAUUUUGGAUAAACACUUGCAAUAUUUGCAUGAUGAAUGUAAUAUGACAGGCAUAUUUAGAGCAUGGAAUACCCGAGAGUCCGGAAAUAAUGCCAACACUAAUGCAAAAGGCAACAAUAAAUGCAGGCGGGUAUUUGCUAAACGCGAUAUCAAUUGACCAUUUUAUCUUGAGGCUUCCUAAUCGCUUAAAACUUUCAUGUCUACAAUCUCCGAAACAAACUGAAAUUCGUGGUAAAUUUGGCUUGGAGUGGUCCGAACUGUUGGUCAUGUUUGCUUUAUGCAAUGGCGGCAGCUGGUCUUCUGCGGUGAGAGUUUACACGUCAGCACAAGUGGAAAGCGAGUUAGCAAUAGCAAAGAGAGAUUACCUGAAAGGGUACCCGAGAAAAUGCAAAGUUUAGUGAGUAAAAGAUUACGCAAUGGCUGUUGGGCUUGCUAAUUGUUGAAUGGGCUGGAUUAAAGAUGUUGUGGUUUUGUUGAUAAAGGACUGGUCAAAGCUGGGUUGGACUAAAUUUGUCAACACAUUUAGGUUGGACUAAAUAAAUGAACCUCAGCCGUGAGUCUAUUGUAAUUUAAUAUUGUUUGUUAUUGAGAGUUUGACAUUAACAAUUAGGAAGCGAAUUUGGGUUUUGAGAGAUAUUCAGAGUGAACAUGGUGAGUUAGAGGCGAAGUUAUUCGAAGAGAGAGCAGAGCCACCGUAUGCAAAGAUGUGGAUAUAUUAUUCAGAUAACUACAACUUGCAUCGUGAGAUUAGCAUUUACGAUUUAUCUCAUCAUUAUGUUUACAUUGCGUACUAAUUUUUAGCCUUUGAAUAGCACAAGCAAAUCAUACAAGUUGUGGCGAUAUCCCGGUUCAACCUUUUUCUUCUCCCUUUUCUCUCAAUCUAUCUAUCUACGAUUCAUCCUAUAGUCUGAUUUAGAUCCUAUGAAUAUCGUGAUUUUUCACAAACACUUAAUGUAAGCGAUUAUUCAACCCUAAAUCAUAACCAGAUGAACUCGAUCAGGUAUGUUUAGCGCCUCUCUCAGUCAUGAAGGGUUUUUGUAUAAAGACGUUUAUUUAUUCGUAUGAUUUUCAUCUCUGAUCUGUAUUUGGCAUUUCCUUAUUUUGUUAUUUCCUUUGAUU
This is an RNA transcript of Helianthus annuus (common sunflower), 2212 nucleotides long. RefSeq lists it as uncharacterized. The transcript has 10 exons. Lineage: Eukaryota; Viridiplantae; Streptophyta; Magnoliopsida; Asterales; Asteraceae. The record is from RefSeq and is a predicted model, not a curated record.